Penaeus indicus is the source of this 1859-nucleotide RNA transcript. It is a transcript of the gene named aldehyde dehydrogenase, dimeric NADP-preferring-like, with no coding region annotated. Lineage: Eukaryota; Metazoa; Arthropoda; Malacostraca; Decapoda; Penaeidae. The transcript is spliced from 15 exons. The record is from RefSeq and is a predicted model, not a curated record.
AUAACGGGGAUGAUUGUGUUGGAUGACAGUCAGGAUUUCAGGAGAAAAAAAAAGACGCGAAGAAAGUUGUGGAAUGGUUGUCUUGACACAAAAAAUUAAGGUUAACGAGGUAUGGAGAAGAUGACAAGAUAUGAACAGGUGAUUCAGCAGGCCAAAGAAGCCUACCACUCUGGCCGAACCCGGGAUGUCGAGUUCCGCAAGAAGCAGCUUAAGGCCCUCAAGCGCAUGUACGAGGAGAAUGAAUCAGUGUUCUGCUCUGCCCUUGCCAAAGAUUUGCAUAAGCCAAAACAGGAAUGUGUGUUGCUUGAACUAAAUCUGUUAAAAGAUGACAUCACAUACAUCCUUGCCAGGAUUGAUGAAUGGGCUAAGCCAGAAAAGAUUGCAGCAAAUUUGGUGACAAUGUUUGACACUCCUUUGAUAUACCAUGACCCCUAUGGUGUAGUGCUGAUUAUGGGAGCUUGGAAUUACCCACUUCAGCUUCCUCUUCUUCCUUUGUCAGGUGCCAUUGCUGCUGGAAACUGUGUGAUCAUCAAACCAUCCGAGAUUUCACCUGCCACAGCACAGGCAGUUGCUGAACUUCUUCCAAAAUACUUGGAUAGUGAAUGUUAUCAUGUGGUAUGCGGUGGUAUUCCUGAAACAGAGGAGCUCCUCAAACAGCGAUUUGACUACAUCUUCUACACUGGAUCACCCCAAGUCGGGAAGAUUAUUCGAGAUGCUGCCAAUAAACACCUAACUCCAACUACUCUUGAGCUGGGUGGAAAGAGUCCCGUCUACAUUGAUGACACUGUGAACAUGGACGUCGCAGUUCGCCGCAUCAUGUGGGGAAAAUGCAUCAAUCUUGGCCAAACCUGCAUUGCCCCUGACUAUAUCCUCUGUUCAAAGGAAGUUCAGGAUAAGUUUGUGAACAAGGCAAGGGAGGUAAUGAAGGAGUGGUAUACUGAAAACCCUCAAAAGUCUCCGGAUUUGUGCAGGAUUGUUACAGAUAAACAUGUCAAUCGCCUAGAAGAGUAUCUCAAGGAUGGGACAGUAGCUGUUGGCGGAGAAGUGGAUAAGGAAGACAAGUGGAUUUCCCCGACCAUCCUUGUGGAUGUUAACCCUGAGAGCAAGGUUAUGACUGAAGAGAUUUUUGGACCUAUUAUGCCUAUUGUAAAUGUCAACUCAGCAUAUGAGGCUAUCAACUUCAUCAACAAAAGGGAGAAGCCACUAACUCUAUACAUCUUUACGAAGCACAAAGAUAUUCCAAACCUCUUUUUAGCACGCACAUCUAGUGGGAGUUGCUGUGUGAAUGACACUGUGAUUCACUUGUCAGUUCAUGACCUUCCAUUUGGUGGAAUUGGAAACAGUGGUAUGGGAGCUUAUCAUGGCAAAGCUUCCUUUGACACGUUUACUCACCGUAAAUCCUGCCUCAUUCGGAACUACAACAAGAUUGCCGAUGUUAUUGGAGCCAAGCGUUACCCACCAUACAGUGAGAGUAACAUGAAGUUCCUCAGCAAUAUGCUCAAGGAACGUGCAACUCCCAGCUUAAAGUACCUGCCAUAUCUUCUUACAUUUGGCCUUGGUGUUGCUUCUGUGUUUGCUGUAAAGGAAAUUGCCAAGGGUGGUUUACAAGAAUGGUUGAAUCGUAGAGUUGGCCUACUUUCAGCUUUUCGAUCAUCCAGGUCUUAGAACUUUCGUAGAAGUUAUUCCUCACACUUAAAAAUAUUGAAUUAAAAAGUCAAGCAGUUGGAGCAGAUGACGAUUAGGUGAAAUCGUGAAGGCCAGUAUUGUGUUUAUAAUGGAACACUGUGUAAGGGAAUUAUUUAACCAUAUAUGAAAAAUAUAGUCUAGUGUAAGGACUUCCCAGCCAAAGGGAAGGCAGA